Molecule: transfer RNA, 87 nt
Filed under: Eggerthellaceae bacterium
Lineage: Bacteria; Bacillati; Actinomycetota; Coriobacteriia; Eggerthellales; Eggerthellaceae
Also listed under: 1 other name
Description: tRNA-Leu
Rfam family: tRNA
About the family: Transfer RNA (tRNA) molecules are approximately 80 nucleotides in length. Their secondary structure includes four short double-helical elements and three loops (D, anti-codon, and T loops).
Source: RNAcentral
GCCGGGUUGGUGAAACAGGCAGACACAGCGGGUUCAAAACCCGCCGCCUUCAAAAGCGUAUGGGUUCAAAUCCCAUACCCGGCACCA